CAGCCGCCGCGGGAAUACGAAGGGGGCUAGCGUUGUUCGGAAUCACUGGGCGUAAAGAGCACGUAGGCGGAUCUUUAAGUCAGGGGUGAAAUCCCGAGGCUCAACCUCGGAACUGCCUUUGAUACUGGGGAUCUCGAGUCCGGGAGAGGUGAGUGGAACUGCGAGUGUAGAGGUGAAAUUCGUAGAUAUUCGCAAGAACACCAGUGGCGAAGGCGGCUCACUGGCCCGGAACUGACGCUGAGGUGCGGAAGCGUGGGGAGCAAACAGGAUUAGAUACCCCUGUAGUCCCUGUCUCUUAUAC
Molecule: ribosomal RNA, 301 nt
Filed under: uncultured bacterium
Lineage: Bacteria
Description: partial 16S ribosomal RNA
Rfam family: Bacterial small subunit ribosomal RNA
Source: RNAcentral